RNAcentral lists this transfer RNA (74 nucleotides) under Solirubrobacteraceae bacterium. Its description in RNAcentral is "tRNA-Lys". It matches the Rfam family "tRNA". From Rfam's summary of the family: Transfer RNA (tRNA) molecules are approximately 80 nucleotides in length. Their secondary structure includes four short double-helical elements and three loops (D, anti-codon, and T loops). The record is from RNAcentral. Lineage: Bacteria; Bacillati; Actinomycetota; Thermoleophilia; Solirubrobacterales; Solirubrobacteraceae.
GCCUCCAUAGCUCAGUUGGUUAGAGCAGCGGACUUUUAAUCCGACGGUCGCCGGUUCGAGUCCGGCUGGGGGUA